RNAcentral lists this RNase P RNA (349 nucleotides) under Flavobacteriales bacterium. RNAcentral's name for it is "RNase P RNA component class A". It matches the Rfam family "Bacterial RNase P class A". Rfam says of the family: Ribonuclease P (RNase P) is a ubiquitous endoribonuclease, found in archaea, bacteria and eukarya as well as chloroplasts and mitochondria. Its best characterised activity is the generation of mature 5'-ends of tRNAs by cleaving the 5'-leader elements of precursor-tRNAs. The record is from RNAcentral. Lineage: Bacteria; Pseudomonadati; Bacteroidota; Flavobacteriia; Flavobacteriales.
ACGGUUGCCUUCAUCGCCUCACGCAAGUGGGGAGGAAAGUCCGGACAGCUCAGAGUGCCGUACUCCUCGAAAGGGAGAACCAUCAAACGUGAUGGGAUAGAAAGUGCUAUAGAAAUUUAAACCGCCGAUGGCUCGUAAGAGCACAGGUAAGGCUGAAAAGGUGGAGUAAGAGCCCACCAGUGGUGGAGUGAUCCACCAGCUUAGGUAAACCUUGCGGGCUGCAAGACCAUGUAAACUAGUGCUUGAGAGCUGCUCGCUCGAUGCUAGAGGGUAGGUCGCAUUAGAUCAAUGAUGAAGCUCGGUGUUGUUUAUUCAACAACGGGAACAGAAUCCGGCUUACACCGUAAAU